RNAcentral lists this ribosomal RNA (253 nucleotides) under uncultured bacterium. Its description in RNAcentral is "partial 16S ribosomal RNA". It matches the Rfam family "Bacterial small subunit ribosomal RNA", at positions 524 to 776 of the family's 1533-position model. The record is from RNAcentral.
UACGAAGGGGGCUAGCGUUGCUCGGAAUCACUGGGCGUAAAGGGUGCGUAGGCGGGUCUUUAAGUCAGGGGUGAAAUCCUGGAGCUCAACUCCAGAACUGCCUUUGAUACUGAAGAUCUUGAGUCCGGGAGAGGUGAGUGGAACUGCGAGUGGAGCGGUGAAAUGCGUUGAUAUUCACAGGAACUCCGGUGGCGAAGGCGGCUCGCUGGACCUCUUCUGACGCUGAGGCGCGAAAGCCAGGGGAGCAAACGGG